RNAcentral lists this non-coding RNA (29 nucleotides) under Rattus norvegicus (Norway rat). The record is from RNAcentral. Lineage: Eukaryota; Metazoa; Chordata; Mammalia; Rodentia; Muridae.
UCCCUCUGUGUAGUUUACAGCCCAAGGCC